RNAcentral lists this ribosomal RNA (447 nucleotides) under uncultured bacterium. RNAcentral describes it as "bacterial SSU rRNA". It matches the Rfam family "Bacterial small subunit ribosomal RNA", at positions 329 to 793 of the family's 1533-position model. The record is from RNAcentral.
UACCAGACUCCUACGGGAGGCAGCAGUGGGGAAUAUUGCACAAUGGGGGAAACCCUGAUGCAGCGACGCCGCGUGAGCGAUGAAGUAUUUCGGUAUGUAAAGCUCUAUCAGCAGGGAAGAAGAUGACGGUACCUGACUAAGAAGCCCCGGCUAACUACGUGCCAGCAGCCGCGGUAAUACGUAGGGGGCGAGCGUUAUCCGGAUUUACUGGGUGUAAAGGGAGCGUAGACGGCGAUGCAAGCCAGAUGUGAAAGCCCGGGGCUCAACCCCGGGACUGCAUUUGGAACUGUGUGGCUGGAGUGUCGGAGAGGCAGGCGGAAUUCCUAGUGUAGCGGUGAAAUGCGUAGAUAUUAGGAGGAACACCAGUGGCGAAGGCGGCCUGCUGGACGAUGACUGACGUUGAGGCUCGAAAGCGUGGGGAGCAAACAGGAUUAGAUACACCGGUAA